GCCACGGUGGUCUAGCGGUUAGAACGCUGGCCUUGUAAUCCUGGGGUCCCGGGUUCGAUUCCUGGCGGUGCCC
This 73-nucleotide transfer RNA is filed under the name Zootermopsis nevadensis. It matches the Rfam family "tRNA". From Rfam's summary of the family: Transfer RNA (tRNA) molecules are approximately 80 nucleotides in length. Their secondary structure includes four short double-helical elements and three loops (D, anti-codon, and T loops). The record is from Rfam by way of RNAcentral. Lineage: Eukaryota; Metazoa; Arthropoda; Insecta; Blattodea; Termopsidae.